CAGCCGCCGCGGGAAUACGUAGGUGGCAAGCGUUGUCCGGAAUUAUUGGGCGUAAAGGGCUCGCAGGCGGUUUCUUAAGUCUGAUGUGAAAGCCCCCGGCUCAACCGGGGAGGGUCAUUGGAAACUGGGAAACUUGAGUGCAGAAGAGGAGAGUGGAAUUCCACGUGUAGCGGUGAAAUGCGUAGAGAUGUGGAGGAACACCAGUGGCGAAGGCGACUCUCUGGUCUGUAACUGACGCUGAGGAGCAAAAGCGUGGGGAGCGAACAGGAUUAGAUACCCCAGUAGUCCCUGUCUCUUAUAC
Molecule: ribosomal RNA, 301 nt
Filed under: uncultured bacterium
Lineage: Bacteria
Description: partial 16S ribosomal RNA
Rfam family: Bacterial small subunit ribosomal RNA
Source: RNAcentral